This 96-nucleotide transfer RNA is filed under the name bacterium. RNAcentral describes it as "tRNA-Ser". It matches the Rfam family "tRNA". From Rfam's summary of the family: Transfer RNA (tRNA) molecules are approximately 80 nucleotides in length. RNAcentral also lists the same sequence under 2 other names. The record is from RNAcentral.
GGAGAGAUGGCCGAGCUGGUCGAAGGCGUUCGCCUGCUAAGCGAAUGUAUGUUUAUAAAGAACGUACCGAGGGUUCGAAUCCCUCUCUCUCCGCCA